Molecule: ribosomal RNA, 1638 nt
Filed under: Triticum aestivum (bread wheat)
Lineage: Eukaryota; Viridiplantae; Streptophyta; Magnoliopsida; Poales; Poaceae
Description: partial small subunit ribosomal RNA
Source: RNAcentral
AUGCAUUCUCAGUUGGACCUGAUGAUUGAGGGCGUUCCAUCCCACAGCUGGACGCGAGACACGGUGGCCGAGCUCCUCGGCUCCGGCUGCCUGGUGGAUAGCCUUGCGCCGGAGACAGCCAGCCGGGAAGACCUCUCUCUGUUCAAGCUCCGGGCGUGGUGCGUGGAUCCCGAUGAGGUGCCGGUGGCCAAGAGGUUGUGGGUGCCCGAGCCAGAGGUGGUUGGCAGCCCUGCGGCUCGCUGGCCGUCUUCCCGCCAGCUUUUGGAGUAUAAGACUCUCAUCCACAUUGGCAGAGUCAAGGAACAUGUGGGCCCGGAGGGCUGGCUUCGCCCUCUGAGCUCAGAUGGCAGCGGUCAGAGCGGUCUGCCGGAGGACUCCGACAACUUUUCGGGCAAUGGUGAAUGGAGGGUACUCCCGUGGACGGGCGGUGUUAGCGAUGCCCGCGGUGGCGCGCCGGCGGGUGGCGCUCCAGGCGGCUCUUAUCGUCAGGCUCUCUUGGGGCGCGUGGGUCCGCCCGACUGGCGCAUUCCGCCGAUGCCCAUGGGAGUUGCCAGUGUGCAGCCGCGGCAGCAGCCUAUGUGCCCUGCAUCGCCGGUGUCAAGGGAGCCCUUCCCAGCGCCGACUGCGGUUGUCAGCCCGAACAGGACGGUGGGGACGCCCGCAGCAUCGGAUCCGGGGCAAGGCCCUGUGGCCUCUGCGGAGAUUGCGCCAAUGGUCGGAUUGGCCACAGAAGAUCCAAGUGGUGGGGCCACGGGCCAGGAGUUGGUGGUGGCAGGGGCAGUUGGCGCUUUAUCCCCUGCGUUGGAACAUGAGUUGCCCCCUGCAGCUGGCAAUAAGGACAAAUCGGCUGAUUCGGUCUUGGAAGAAUCGGUCCAUCCCGAGGAUGGUGCCAGGGUUUGCAACAGAGCGACAGAGGGGACUGGCCUGGAUGGGACUGGGAUCCUGGAGGUGACCGGUCAAGUCCUGGCCCCUGAGAUUGCACAGUGCCACGUGCCUCGCGAUGUAGGGCUGGUUGAGGAUUCGAUCCAGGAGGGGGAACCCGCGCCAGGGUGGGCCUUGGUGGUGGAAAUUUCGUCCGGCGCACCGCUGCAUGCCGUGGUAGUGCCGGUGCAGUCGGAUAGGGCAGGUGCUGAUCCCGAGCCUGAGGCGGGAGGGGAGCCGGUUGGCUGCAUGGAUGUGAUCUACCUGGUGGAGCAUGCCGGUUGCAUGGAUGGUGACACUCCCAUGCACGUUCACGCCGAUCUGCUGCUGUCGCCUAAGGACGAAGUUGCAGUAGCAAAUAUUAAAGAUUUCUGCACUGGACUUUUGAAGAAGCUCGGCCUACCUCUCCUCAAGGAAAUUGAAGCUGUCCGUGGCAACUGUGUUGCGCAGGAUACUGCACGUCGUAACACGCGUGCUUCGUCUGCAUGCGCUCCUAGAAAGACCGGUGCAACGACAACAGAGACCGUGCUCCUCAAAGCCCUUGGUAUCACACCGGAUGGGCUGGCGGUCACAGAUGAGGUGCUUGGUCAGCUGCGGCAAAUGUUCGACUCCCCCAUCCAGGAGCCACAACUGAGGACGAUGGCGGCAAUCUUUGGGAAGGCGGUCCCUUUUGAUCUCGGCAUGGAGGAGGCCUCGAGGGUGGCUCUGCUCGCUUGA